Long non-coding RNA from Hemicordylus capensis (graceful crag lizard), 10030 nucleotides. RefSeq lists it as uncharacterized. The transcript has 3 exons. The record is from RefSeq and is a predicted model, not a curated record. NCBI's taxonomy places the organism in Eukaryota, Metazoa, Chordata, Lepidosauria, Squamata, Cordylidae.
UCCACUCCCGGGCCAGUUCAGGCCCCAUUCAGGUGUGCCAGGGAAGUGUUUUGUUUUUUUAGGCAGUCUUGCUGCUGCCGAAGGCCUCAGUAGUCUCGGUGUGUGUGUGCGUGCGUGCGUGCUGCGGUGUGUGGUUGGUGUCUGGCAGCCCCCCCGCCCCGGUCUCCCAUGUGGCCAGCUACGUUAGCUUAGCAGAGAGUGAAAGAGAGACAGCAGAAUCCUUUCCCUUGGACUCCCUCCAUUAGCUGACACCAAACCCUAUUCUUUCUGACUCUGAAUAGCCACUAUUCCAGUGAUGGAAUAUCAUGAAGAUCCAUCCAUCGACUUAUUUCGAUAGCUACUUACCCUGGCUUUUCCUGAAUGAUUUUCCUUUGCUUUCCUCACCAAUGUGUCAUGGAUUUACUUUUUUACCCUAAGGGCAGGGGCUGUUUUAUUUAUCAUUUUCUUACAGCACCUAAUAACUUUAGCUGCGUUGUAAAUAAAACACAAAUAUUAUAGGGUUAUAUCCAAUGGGUCCCUUCUUCCAAUAGGAGGAUAUUUGUCCAUAGGAAGGACUCCUUUCUUGAGGGAAAGGAACCUCUGGAUGCAACUGUCAUGGACCCGAACCCACCACCACACUAUGCAGAGGCGGGCAGUGAGAGCUCAGAAGACAAGGCAACACCCUGGACUCCGAGUCCCAUGUAGACAACCGAACAAUCCAGCCCUGGGGCUCCCUUCUGGAAACCAUUUGUCUCACCAGCCACACUGGGACAGAUUGGGGAAAGCUCUGAGGAGGAGGAAACCAAAGAGACAAUUGUUCCCGAAGAGACUCCACCCAUUCCUCGCCCCAAGGAUACUCCAUUGCCCAUAUCCUCUGAUUUGGAAGAUGACCUUGACCCUCCUCCAGGGGCUGAAGAAUUGCCUCCUUUCCAUAGGAGCCUGCAGUUAAGGAUUAGAGUGCAGGAAAUCAGAGUGCACUUGGGACCUGUGCCAUAAAUGUCCAGCAGCCCAUGUAUGUAAACAGUGAUAAUACAAUAAGGAAAUAACCCAAGGAUGAUGAGAUUGAACUUGUAGAGGAAAUCAACUGUGGCAGCAAGAAUGAAGUCAAACAGUGAGCCAGACUCAUUAGUGAAAGAUGCAGAAAAUACCAGAAGAAAGUAGAGGGGAUAAUUGAGAAGAAAAAGGAUUAAUGUAUGGAGAGUGACCAAGAGCAAAAGGAAAAGCAGCUUAGUUACCAAUGGACUCAACUUUAUAAAGCAUCCCUAGCAGCAGCAGUGGCACACCCUUUCCUACAGGUGGCCCUCGUUAUUCAUGGGGGGGGGUCUCAUUCUUCCCUAUAGCACAAAUAUGGAAACCACAAGUAACAAAACCUGGAGUCAAAGGGAAUGUGGGGAUUAGGUUCCUUGAGCUUUAAAAGGGUAAGAAGAAGAAGAAGAAGCAAGAAAUAAAGGGAAUAAAGCAUACUACCUUGCUCUCCAGGCCGCCAUCUCUCCAGAAAUGCGCAAAACCCAUUAAUCCUCCAUUUUAAAAAAAAAUUAUUGGGUUUUUUAAAAAAUCCACAAAUGUCUCCAUACUGCAAAAUGGUGGCUGGAAAUGGCAUCAGAUGUCAUUUCCGCCCCCCCAGGAACCACAGAUAGGCAAAUAUUACUUAUUUUUUUAGCCAUGGAUAAAGAAAAUGGGUUCCUAUGACUCAACUGAGGAUAUACAAAACUGCGGGUGCCUGGAGCGCAAAUAAUGAGGGCCACUUGUAUUUGUUAGCAGUGGCCAUAGUCACCAUCUUCUCACUCCUCAACAGUGGGCUACUGUGUUAAACAGGAUACUGGACCAGACAGGCCUUGGGCCUGAUCCAUUGAUGCUGUUCUUGUGUUCUUAUGUCAACAGCAGGUUGAGGACCAAGUUUGCCCACCCCUGUUCUAGAGUAUUUGGUAGACUCCUCAGAAGUGGUAUCAUUUUGUGAGAAAAUAAAGAAAUAAUGUUUGGCAAUACCACUGCCAUUUUGGGGACUGUUCUCUAGCUAGUGGAAGAGGAGAGGGAACAAUAGUGUAAGAUGGUGAUGGGUCAUCAUCUGCUCCUUCCACAUAAGAAUGUUGUUGAAGCAAGGGCUACACACUCUUUCACAGAGGGGCCAGAUCUGGUCACUUCAUUAUGCACACACUUUUUUUUCUCACCACACAUCCGAACUCUUUCCUACUCAGUGAUAAAGACACAGGAGCCAAAUACCUUAAUUUCUGCUUACGUCUCCCCAAAAUUGUGUAGGUUCCCUAGUGUACAUAAAUGAUACCAUUUGUGGAAUAGAGUACUUUUGGUGACAGAAUACUGUAUAGUGAUUAUCUUGUAGAGAAUAUGACGGACAACAUAUUCUCUUGGUCAUCUCAAAUAGUGCUAUUGGUUCUCUCAUGAGAGAGAUUCCUGAAGCAGCUGAACACUUUAAUUAGAUAAUUCUGCUAAUAAAGCCACAGGCAGUUAUGAACACAAUGCAGCAAAAUAAGUAAUAGCAACCAGUUUGUGAGAAGGGGGAUCUUCUGCUGUCUGGAAAAGGAAACAAACAAUGUACAUUCAAUAUUUUUGGUGGGAUUGUACUUACAUCUUUAAAUUUGUGGGCUUUAUCUCUUGGGAAUAGAGAGAUCCAAGGGAGUUUAAUGAGGGAAGAAGACUGAGAGAAAAAGUACACUUUUCCCAGUGACUAUAAGACUACAAAUGUACAGUAGAGGUGGGUCUGAUAAAGCAUGCUGUUACAAAGACUUACCCUUUUCAGGUUUAGAAAGAGCCCUGAUAUCUUGGCUCUUCAUCGCAACCUGUGUAGUAGGAUUUAGAAGAGAUUUAAAGAAUUUCUGCAUUGGCUUCUCCAGCAUCAUCAGCAAAGUAUAUUCGGCUAUACAUGUUUUUGUGAGUCAAUCACUACAUGAAGACAUUGGCCCAUACGAGAGGACUUGCAUGUUCAUGUUGCUGCAGGGAGACCAAUUCCAGCCAUGGUUAGUGUUCUCCAGCACACAGUAAUAUAACUAAUCAUUGUUAUGCCUAGAAUGAAUGAAAUAGAAUGAAUGAAAUAGAAUGAAUGAAAUAGAGGUAGAAUCCAUUCAACUGUGUUAUUUCCAAUCAAUUUGGGGUAUAAGAACCCCAGUUCAGCGCCAAUAAUUUGAGCAGCCCAAUCCGAAUACCAGAGAUAAAGAACAUUCGUGAACUAUUCCCAAAAGAUCCUUUGGCUGCAUGGUUCUCUGUCCCAGAGCUGUUUGAAGCCUACUUUGUUUGAGCUCAGAUUGAAGCUUACUUUGGGAAGAGCAGAAGCAGCUUCAGGAGGUGAUCAAGCUUUUCUAAACAGAACAGCAUCAAGCCUCCCCCCCUUCAAACUAACUAACAGGAGGAGGGAACAUUUUGAGGGGGGUGGUUUCUCUUAAAGGGAUAGGUCCUAGCCUCUGUGUGUGUUAUAUGCCAGGGCUAGCAUUUGCCAAGGCUAGCAAAUAACUGUGGCAUCCAGGCGGGAUCAAAGUCAGACAGGCCAAAGUCACACUGGAAUCCAGCGGGUGCAGAGGGCAAGGUGGAAUCAGAGUCAGGCAGGCCAAGGUCACACCAGAAACCAGCGGGUACUGAGGGCAAGGUGGAAUCAGAGUCAGGCAGGCCGAGGUCACACCGGAAUCCAGUGGGUACUGAAGGCAAGGCAGAAUCAGAGUCAGGCAGGCCAAAUUCACAGUCAGAAUCAGAGUCAGAAUCAGGGGCAGGCCAAGGUCACACCAGAAUCCAGCAGGUACCGAGGGCAAGGCAGAAUCAGAGUCAGGUAGGCCGAAGUCAUACCAGAAUCCUGCGGGUACCGAGCGCAAGGCAGAAUCAGGCAGGCAGGCCAAGGUCACACUGGAAACCAGUGGGUACUGAGGGCAAUGUGGAAUCAGAAUCAGGCAGGCCGAGGUCACACCGGAAACCAGUGGGUACUGAGGGCAAGGCAGAAUCAGAGUAGGCAGGCCAAGUUCACAGUCAGAAUCAGAGUCAGAAGCAGGCCAAGGUCACACCAGAAUCCAGCAGGUACUGAGGGCAAGGUGGAAUCAGAGUCAGGCAGGCCAGGGUCACACCGGAAACCAGCAGGUACUGAGGGCAAGGUGGAAUCAGAGUCAGGCAGGCCAGGGUCACACCGGAAACCAGCAGGUACUGAAGGCAAGGUGGAAUCAGAGUCAGGCAGGCCAAGGUUAAGCAGUGAGGGCCAGGAAUCAGAAGACAGGGCAAGACUGGAGAGUCAAGAGAGCUCUGCAUGCUCCAAAAAGGAGCCAGCUCAGACUGCAGGCUUUUAUCCUUUUAGCUCUGGUUGGAGACAAGUAACUCUGCCCCAGGGCAAGGCUCUAGAUGGUUUCAAGGAACCUUGCCUGAUGCUGUAGUCUCAGGCUUUGUUGAGGCUGUGCCAAUGUUGUUUCCCUUAGUAACCCUUCGGAAUACAAGUCUGAUGGUAACACUGAGUCCAAUGGCCUGAUGUUGGUCAGCUGAAUGUGGUCUUGGGGUAUGGGGCCUUCAGAUGACCUUGAGGGUCCUGGAUCCUUUGAGAUAUGCGGUGUAGAUCCAGGUUCUAUACACCAAUACCGUCCUCCUCCGAGGUCUCAUCCAGGGUGGACAGCCGGGCCUGACUGUAGUUGAUGUCCGCAAAGGACAAGUUGUCUCAUCAUGGCAAGGAAGAGAGCUAGGAAGAAGCAAGAGGUAGCGGGGGUGCUCCAGCAGCCAGGUGAUGGUAUUUGGGGGGGGGGUCCCUUCCACUGCUGCUGUCUCACCUCCGAGGGGUUGCCGCCGGAAGAUCAGCCGGUCUCCAUAAGGGCUGCCCCUGAAUCCACGGCCCUUGGGAAAGGUUAGAUGGUUCUUCCCAAGGGCGUGGAUUUGGCCGGGAGUGUGGUGGCGUUGGUGUGGCCACAGAGCUGGAGACCAAUGGUGGACGUCCCCAGUAGCAAGGGGGUGGCCCUGUCUUGGGAGGCCCCAGCGCUUUGAUUGUCAGCGCUGGCAAUGGUUCGACUCUCCGCCGAGCCGAUGGAUCAUGCCAUUUUGAUGGCAGAGGCUUUGGCGGAGGUCUCCCCAUUGGGGUCAGGGUCUUCUUCCCAGAUGACGCGAUCUGGGGAAGAGCCAUCUCACUGGGCCAGCCAGAAAAAUGGCUCUCCCCCAGUGAGAAGAAGCCCUGCCCAGCCCCCCCAAGGUCCACGGCCCCAUUGCUCCUGGGGAUAGAUGUCAGUCCUCUUUCAGGGUCCACCGUGGUCUCCAGCAACCUUCUGGGGUGUCUCCCCUCCCCCAGGUGGGGAAGGGGUUUCACCCCAGAAGGCACACUCCCAGCCCGGGCAUUGCCCAGACGAAGACCGGCUUGGGGGAUCUUCUCCAGGAGGGCUGGUGGUCUGCCCUCCUGUGGCGGCUUCCCCUCACUGCAGCUUACUGCCUGGGGCUGGCUGGUGGAUAUUUUUGGAUGCUUCACCCUUUUCUUGGGUGACCCCGCCACAGGUGCUGGAUCACCCAAGAAAAGGGUGGUUUUCUCAGAGCCAGCCCCAGGCUGCUGCAGCAGGGGGGACAGCAGCAGCUUCCGGUCCCCCAAGUGGCUGCUGGAGCUGGUGGGCCUGCUUUUGCUUGGUCUUGCCUCCUCUGCCCCUGGAAGGAAAGAACCAAAGAAUUAUUUAUUUCAUUUUAAAAUACUUUUUUACACAUUUAUAUACCACCAAAGUUCAAAUCUCUAGGCAGUGUGUUUGGUCAAAAGCAAGUCUCAGAGCUUUACGUUGUUGUUAUAUUAAUGUUAACUUUGAAUGAUGUGGGGGACCCAUCGCUCGGAGUUCCCCAGAACUAGCUAGCCUCGGAGAUUUUGAUCCAGGAGAGGAACACCCAGAGACCCCUGACCUUCAUCUAGCCAGAGAGCCAGGCUUAUUGCCCUCCUGAAGUGCUUUCAAGGCCACUGGGGGAGGAGCUGCAUCCACCUAAGGGCAGGCAGGCAUUCAGCAAAUGCAUAUAGAAAACAUCGAGCCUCUUGAUGAGUAUCUGUGCCUUACCUAGAAGAGAGAAGGGGCUGGGAAGUGGGAAGACCUGAGUUCGAAUCCCUGUUUAACCAUGAAACUCACUGGCAGACUCUGGGCCAGUCAUGUCUCUCUCAGCCUAGAGAGAUCAGUGUUAACAUCCUUCAGCUCCUGGCUGCCAUGAGCAGGAAUCGGCCCCUAAUUCAAAAUCAGGUGAAUGUAAUUAGCAGCUCUUGCUGCUCUCUCUCCAUCCUAUGGUGAGCCCUUUCCCAGUAUUAAUGGAAAUGAAGGGGGGAAAUUGAGAACUCUUCUUCUUUGUAAGGGGCGUGCAAGUUAAUGGUGCCAUCUAGGGAGAAAGUCUUUGGACAGAAAGCAAAAUAAAUCAAAAAGGGAAGCUGUGGAAGCAAGUAAGAGAAAGGGGAGCAGGAAUAACAUAGCUCAAAAAAAGAUCCAGCCCACAAUCCACCAAAGUUUUUCACAAAUGAGUCCUACUGAAAGGCAUCAAAGAGACCCUAGUCAUGAUGAGAUAAGUUUCACUGACAUGACUGUGGCUGGAGUUGUGAGGAGCUUUUGCUGGCCAGUGAGUUGCUUUCUUCUUGCUUCAGCUUCCCCUCACUUCUUCCAAAGGUUCCACUGCCACCUUUUCUACAUUGUGUAACUGCUGUCUUUAUCAUUUCCCCAGCUAUAACCCAUAACUACACAGGUUUUAAGCUUUGUGGUGGUCAAAAACCCUGCUGUUUUAGGACCAUUUCAUGUUCAUUUUUUAGAUUUGUUUCCCACUCUUCAUCCAAGAAGCUCAAAGCAGUGUACAUGCUUAUUUUUAUCCUCACAACAACCCUGUGAGGUAGGUUAGGCUGAGAGUCACCCAGUGAGUUUCAUGGUUGAAUGGGGAUUUGAACCCGGGUCUUCCCGGUCCUAGUCCAACACUCCAACCACUACGCUAUGCUGGCUCUCCAGAGUUAGGACUAUUUCAAUCAGUGGGCUAUGGGGAGGAGGCUGCCUUAGUUGGCCUGAUGAUGAUCUCCAAUUAGGAAUGGGCAGAGGGAGUGUGACUUUGUUGGAUCUCUCAUCAGCUUUCAAUACUAUUGACCAUAGUAUCCUUCUGGAGCAUCUGAGAGGGAUGGGGUGGGAGGCAGUGCUUUGCAGUGAUUCCACACCUACCUCUCGGGAAGAUUCUGGAUGGUGAAGGCAUAACUUCCCUAAAUGCCUGCCUAGAGGAGUGAUGGGCUGGAUAAGGGAUAAUCAACUGAGACUGAAUCCAGAUAAGGUGGAGGUACUUAUUGUGCAGUGGGGUUUUGGGAUACAAUUUGGAUCUACCGGUUCUGGAUGGGGUCGCACCUCCCCAGAAGUAGCAGUCUGGGGGUGCUUCUGGAUCCUAACUUCCCCCUAGGUUCUCAACUUCCCCCAGGUUGAGGCGGUGGUCAGAUGAGUUUUCUUUAAGCUUUGGCUGAUACACCAGCUGUGUCCAUUUCCUGAGAUAAAUGACCUCAGAACAUGGUACAUAUGCUGGUACCUCCAGACUUGACUAUUAUAAUGCACUCUAUGUGGGGUUGCCUUUGUACAUUUUUCAGAAACUGCAGUUGGUAAAGAAUGCAGCAGCCAGAUUGGUCUCUGGGUCAUUUUGGAGAGACCAUAUUACUCCUAUACUAAAAGAACUACACUGGCUGCCAAUAGGUUCCCGGGGAAAAUACUACAACCACUACCAAUAUUUAUAUACCACUUUUCAACCAAAGUUCUCAAUACAUAAAUAAGAUGUUUUUAUUUUAUUUUAUAACCUAUCCAACCCUAAGCAGCUUAGACCCUGGGUGUUUAAGAGAAUGCCAUGAGCCCUAUUGCCCAUUGAAAUCAUCUGGAGAGGUUAAUCUGCAGUUGCCACCAGCUCAUCUGUUGGCUAGACAGGGACAGGCCUUCUCUGUGGCUGCCUCGAGACUCCAGAAUGCACUCCCUGCUGAAAUAAGAGCCUCCCCAUCUCAGAUAAGUUUUUAAAAGUCCUGAAAGACUUAUUUUUUCACCCAAGCUUUUUUACAUUACUAUGCUGUUAAAUUGUUUUAAGGUUUUCAUUUUUGUCUUAAUUCGUUCUCUUUUGUUGUAAAUCAUCCAGAGACAGAAGAUUGCGGCAGUCUACAAAGUUGGUAGGUCGAUAGAUAGAUAAUAUGGCUCAAGCUCCACAAAGCCAGGAAACUGAACCUAAGGCUGAUGCCUUAACAGAUGUGCCAUGUAAUCAGUAAUGUUGUUGUGCAAUGUCGCAGAAGAUGCUAAAAACUGUAGCGCUGCCUAUAGUCGAAGCCAGGGCUGCUCAACUUCGGCCCUCCUGCAGAUUUUGGCCUACAAUUCCCAUAAUCCCUGGCUAUUGGCCACUGUGGCUGGGAAUUGUGGGAGUUGUAGUUCAAAAACAGCUGGGGGGCCUAAGUUGAGCAGGCCUGGUCUAAGCCUAUAGUCAGUGCCAGAAGAGAGACAAACCAGUGAUGACCCUCUUUUCCUCUGAGCUUGGGACAAGCUUGGGAUGGUGUUGCCAUCCAGCCUUUACUGGAGUGCACCAUAAAACCUCUUUUCAGUUGAGUCAGCACUGUAUACGCAUGAUGGCUAAGAUGCUUAAUAAGACUGUACAGGAGCUGGACAACAUGGGGCAUCUUUGCUGGUGCCCGGCUUUACAUCUUCCCUACCUUGAUUUGGGCCUUGAAGACCAAAGAAAAGGAUGGGUGAUGGAGGGCAAGUUGGAAGUGAGCAUAAUUUUUGAAAUAAGACGUCAUGUGGCAUGUCUGUUAAGGUUUCAAUUUCCCAGUUUGUGGAGCUUGAGUCAGAUUGAGAUAGCCUUAACUCUGGCAGGUUUUUUGACCAUCUAAUGUCCAUGGUUUGUGAAAAGGAUAUUUAUGGUUGUGUUUCUGUGCAAGUGUGUUUGCAUUUGUGUUAACCUGAGCUUGUAUAUGGAAGGGCUUUUGUUUCUGUAUGUUUGCUUAUCUUCUAUACAUGUGUGCUGUUGAUGAAACUGCCUCGAGGGUUAUUGGCCUGCACACUCUAGUUCGGGCGAAUGUGGGGAAUUUACCUCAAAACAGGAGACAGUUCCAGUCAGCCUCAAUUUGUGUAAGCGUAUGAACUCAAGAAAAUUGAAGAAGCACACUGGGUCAUGGAGUUAGGGAUCUAUGUUACAUCACUAACUCAUCAAAUCUGGGGGCAACCAGUCCACUGCCAACUAAGCGACUUGUCCCCAUGUAUAACAUAGACUGGGAGCUCACAUUGCAGUGCAGAGCAUAGCAAAAGUGCAAUCUCCAAGCCUGGAGAUGCAGUUGAAACCAGGGAGGCUUCUGGGAGUGGGCAGAAUAAGCUCAGCUGGUAACAGUGCAUUUACUGUAUUUACACAUGUUUGUGUGUGUGCUUGUGUUCAAUAACCAUGUGUUUGUGCUACUGUGUGGAUACAUCUGCAUGUGUUUGUGGAUGUGCUUGUUUUCUUGUGUGCACAUUUAUGUACCUCUGAGCAUUUUUAUGCAUUUGAUUGUGUUGUGUGCAUGUGUUUAUGAAUUUGCACAUCUUUGUUAUGCAUGUAUUUAUCUGUUUCUGUGUUUGUGUGUGGCAAGUAUUUGCAUGACUCUGUGUGUGUGUGUGUGUGUGUGUGUGUGUGUGUGUGUGUGUGUAAGGCUGUUGCAUAUGUUUUUGUGUUGCAUCUGUGUGCAUUUGUGCUUCUGACUAUGGAUUAUUGUGAUGUAUCACAAGACUGCUUCCUUGCCUUUGAUUCAUCAAAGGUGUGAAACUUGUAACCUUUUUGUAUAAAUGCUUUGUCAGCCUCCAUUUUGGGGCUCUACCUUUUGACUGGAACUUGAUUCCAUGAGCCAUGCUCUCUUUCACUCUGCAGAGGUAAAUAAAGUUUUGAAAUCCUGAUCUCCUCUUGGAGUGAUCAAUUGGGCGCCUCACACCAGGUAAAAUAACCCCUUGGAGUUAUCAAGGGGCGUGGAAAUCUUUUGAGGACUACAGAUCUAUAUCUGUAUUUGCCAUAGUGUUGGGUUCUUACUCUGGCCUCCACCAUCUAAUUUUGUUUUUCACUUUUUAGUAAAUAUUCUAAAGGAGAACAUGGAGUUCUUGUUCCCAGCCUGAUAUAACAUCCU